This 1780-nucleotide ribosomal RNA is filed under the name Lynnella semiglobulosa. Its description in RNAcentral is "LSU rRNA". It matches the Rfam family "Eukaryotic large subunit ribosomal RNA", at positions 23 to 1857 of the family's 3401-position model. Lineage: Eukaryota; Ciliophora; Spirotrichea; Choreotrichida; Lynnellidae. The record is from RNAcentral.
ACCCGCUGAACUUAAGCAUAUCAUUAAGCGGAGGAAAAGAAACUAACUAGGAUGGCCUCAGUAAUGGCGAAUGAAGCGGCCAGAGCCCAGAAUGGAAAUCAACGCCCAGCGGGCGGUGAAUUGUAAUCUGUAGGAGGUUGGCUCAAAAGGCAGCGACGCAGAAGUGCCCGCGAGAGGGCCGCCAGAGAGGGUGACAGCCCCGUACGUGGUGUCGUAGUCUAACGAGCUGGCUUUCGGAGAGUCGCGUUCUUUUGUAAUGGAGCGCUAAGCGGGAGAUAAACUUCUUCUAAGGCUAAAUAUACGUGGGAAACCGAUAGCGAACAAGUACUGUGAAGGAAAGAUGAAAAGCACUUUGGAAAGAGAGUCAAAAGACUUGAAACCGUCUAGGAGGAAGUGGUAGAAUUUAAUUAUCGGCUGUGGGACUGUAAGGCGCUUCGGCACCGAGGAUGUCCCGCGGAGUGAGGCCUGGAGGGGUCGCAUCGCCACAGAAAGCCAGCGUUCGGUCUUUUCGGAGAAAGAGCGAGGGGUCAGUGGGGAAGCGGCCUGAGGGUGCUUUGUGCGUCCAGGCCAAAAUGGAUUUUACCGCCCCGUCUUGAAACACGGACCAAGGAGUCUAGUAUGCGCGCGAGUCUGAGGGUGGAGAAACCCUUGGGCGCAAUGAAGGUGAGCGAUGCCAAGAUUCAGCAGCAUCGGCCGACCAUGAUCCUCUGGUGAAAGGUUUGAGCAAGAGCGCGCCUGUUAGGACCCGAAAGAUGGUGAACUAUGCCUGAGUAGGGUGAAGUCAGGGGAAACUCUGAUGGAAGCUCGUAGCGAUACUGACGUGCAAAUCGUUCGUCGAACUUGGGUAUAGGGGCGAAAGACUAAUCGAACCAUCUAGUAGCUGGUUCCCUCCGAAGUUUCCCUCAGGAUAGCUGGGACAACUACGCAGUUUUAUUAGGUAAAGCGAAUGAUUAGAGGCAUCGGUGGCGAAAUGCUGUCGACCUAUUCUCAAACUUUAAAUUGGUAAGAACCCGAGCCUAUCUUAAAUGAGGCAUCGGGGCUCAAUGCGUGUCCUUAGUGGGCCAUUUUUGGUAAGCAGAACUGGCGAUGAGGGAUGCUCCUAACGUCUGGUUAAGGUGCCAAACUGCGCGCUCAUCAGAAACUACAAAGGGUGUUGGUUCAUCUAGACAGCAGGACGGUGGCCAUGGAAGUUGGAACCCGCUAAGGAGUGUGUAACAACUCACCUGCCGAAUGAACCAGUCCCGAAAAUGGAUGGCGCUUAAGCGCGUGACCGAUACCAGACCAUUGGCGCGAGAGUGAGGUGUCAAUGAGUAGGAGGGCGUGGGCAUCGGUGUGAAGCCUUUGGCGUGAGCCUGGGUAGACCGGUGUCUAGUGCAGAUCUUGGUGGUAGUAGCAAUUAUUCAAAUGAGAACUUUGAAGGCCGAAGUGGAGAAAGUUUCCGUGAGAACAGCAAUUGGUCACGGGUGACUCGAUCCUAAGACAUGGGGGAAGUCCCUGUUAAGUGUGCGCUAGCACGUAGUCGAAAGGGAAUCAGGUUAAUAUUCCUGAAGCCGGCCGUGGGUGUUGUGUGGCAACACAAGUGAGCUCUGAGACGCCAGCGCGGGCCUCCGGGAGAGUUAUCUUUUCUUUUUAACAGGCUAGUGACCCUGGAAUUGGAUUAACCAGAGAUAGGGUUGCAUGCUUGGAAGAGCCCCCUGCUUUUCGGGGGGUCGGGUGCGUUCGCGAUGGUCCAUGAAAAUCAGGGUGAGAUAGUUUCACGCCGGGUCGUACUCACAACCGC